Molecule: ribosomal RNA, 511 nt
Filed under: uncultured bacterium
Lineage: Bacteria
Description: partial 16S ribosomal RNA
Rfam family: Bacterial small subunit ribosomal RNA
Source: RNAcentral
GAUGAACGCUGGCGGCGUGCCUAAUACAUGCAAGUCGAACGAAACUUCUUUAUCACCGAGUGCUUGCACUCACCGAUAAAGAGUUAAGUGGCGAACGGGUGAGUAACACGUGGGCAACCUGCCCAAAAGAGGGGGAUAACACUUGGAAACAGGUGCUAAUACCGCAUAACCAUAGUUACCGCAUGGUAACUAUGUAAAAGGUGGCUAUACUACCGCUUUUGGAUGGGCCCGCGGCGCAUUAGCUAGUUGGUAGGGUAAAGGCUUACCAAGGCAAUGAUGCGUAGCCGAAUUGAGAGGUUGAUCGGCCACAUUGGGACUGAGACACGGCCCAAACUCCUACGGGAGGCAGCAGUAGGGAAUCUUCCACAAUGGGCGAAAGCCUGAUGGAGCACGCCGCGUGGGUGAAGAAGGUCUUCGGAUCGUAAAACCCUGUUGUUAGAGAAGAAAGUGCGUGAGAGUAACUGUUCACGCUUCGACGGUAUCUAACCAGAAAGCCACGGCUAACUACGUG